UGUUUUGUACGAAGUUGUAAACGAGUUGAUUUUUUUCUGUCACUCUGUGAACGUACACUAUUACUGCGAUAAUUUAUUUAAGCGUGAAAGUAGUCAAGUUUGUUUUGUUGCUCGUAAGUGGAGUAAUCCGGCCAAAACUUUUGCUUCCGUUCCGCCGCGUCGGCCAAAAACAUUCGGGACAGAGUCUGGUCCAUUGCGGCUGUAAGCUGUCGACAAUUCUUCCGCGCUGGAAGUCACCCUGUUGAAAGUCUACGGCUCUACCGAAAUCCCCAGUCAAACAAUAGGAUUUUUUCCAGCUUUCGAGUAGCCAAGGAAGAAGUGAUUGAGUUAAAUGGAGUAUCAACAAAUUACCUCCUUUGCUGAAAUGAACAACGAGGAUACGAGCAGAUUGGUUACCAUUCGGAACGCAACCUGACCAUGGGACCGCCGAAUGCAGGAUGUGAUUGUAGAUGAAUUUUGUUCAUCAGAAAGAAAACCAGUGGAAGCUCAUCCGUAUGAAAGACUGCCAGCUGUUACUAAUUAUGAAUGCAAUUUGAGUAGCAUCUGUUCCAACACCUUCUGAGAAUAGUACCUAUUCUGGCUACGGAUGUUACGGUUCUGGACUUGAGGUGCCAUCGGAAAGCGCAGUAUGAUGUGAAGACUGACGGAAUAAAUGCAGUCAUUUUCUUCGAUAAUGAAAAUAUGCAUACAUACACAACUUAAGUAUUAACUUGACCAUGUUCGACUGAUUUACUAAUCAAAGUAAGUAUUGUUAUGUGAACAGAUAAAUAAAUACAAUAAAAAAUAGACUCAAA
Long non-coding RNA from Aedes aegypti (yellow fever mosquito), 794 nucleotides. RefSeq lists it as uncharacterized. The transcript is spliced from 2 exons. Lineage: Eukaryota; Metazoa; Arthropoda; Insecta; Diptera; Culicidae. The record is from RefSeq and is a predicted model, not a curated record.